Molecule: ribosomal RNA, 253 nt
Filed under: uncultured bacterium
Lineage: Bacteria
Description: partial 16S ribosomal RNA
Rfam family: Bacterial small subunit ribosomal RNA
Source: RNAcentral
UACGAAGGGGGCUAGCGUUGUUCGGAAUUACUGGGCGUAAAGCGUGCGCAGGCGGUCUUCCAAGUCAGUGGUGAAAGCCCGGAGCUCAACUCCGGAACUGCCAUUGAAACUGUGAGACUCGAGUACGAGAGAGGUGAGUGGAAUUCCCAGUGUAGAGGUGAAAUUCGUAGAUAUUGGGAAGAACACCAGUGGCGAAGGCGGCUAUCUGGACGGUUUCUGACACUAAGACUCGAAAGCGUGGGGAGCAAACAGG